This 468-nucleotide ribosomal RNA is filed under the name uncultured bacterium. Its description in RNAcentral is "partial 16S ribosomal RNA". It matches the Rfam family "Bacterial small subunit ribosomal RNA", at positions 28 to 507 of the family's 1533-position model. The record is from RNAcentral.
GACGAACGCUGGCGGCGUGCUUAACACACGCAAGUCGAACGGAAAGGCCCUGCUUUUGUGGGGUGCUCGAGUGGCGAACGGGUGAGUAACACGUGAGUAACCUGCCCUUGACUUUGGGAUAACUUCAGGAAACUGGGGCUAAUACCGGAUAGGAGCUCCUGCUGCAUGGUGGGGGUUGGAAAGUUUCGGCGGUUGGGGAUGGACUCGCGGCUUAUCAGCUUGUUGGUGGGGUAGUGGCUUACCAAGGCUUUGACGGGUAGCCGGCCUGAGAGGGUGACCGGCCACAUUGGGACUGAGAUACGGCCCAGACUCCUACGGGAGGCAGCAGUGGGGAAUAUUGCACAAUGGGCGGAAGCCUGAUGCAGCAACGCCGCGUGCGGGAUGACGGCCUUCGGGUCGUAAACCGCUUUCGCCUGUGACGAAGCGUGAGUGACGGUAAUGGGUAAAGAAGCACCGGCUAACUACGUG